This 699-nucleotide unclassified non-coding RNA is filed under the name Wikstroemia pilosa. RNAcentral's name for it is "partial contains small subunit ribosomal RNA, internal transcribed spacer 1, 5.8S ribosomal RNA, internal transcribed spacer 2, and large subunit ribosomal RNA". The stretch from base 283 to 438 matches the Rfam family "5.8S ribosomal RNA". Lineage: Eukaryota; Viridiplantae; Streptophyta; Magnoliopsida; Malvales; Thymelaeaceae. The record is from RNAcentral.
AUCAUUUAGAGGAAGGAGAAGUCGUAACAAGGUUUCCGUAGGUGAACCUGCGGAAGGAUCAUUGUCGAAUCCUGCCAAGCAGUACAACCCGUGAACAUGUUAGCAAAUGUGUCGAGGGGUAAUGGUGUCGUUGGCUCUAUUUCCUCUUGACUGGCCCAUGUGGCCAAGAUAACCAACCCCGGCGCGGAUUGCGCCAAGGAAUUGUGAUAAGUGAAACGUUUGCCCUAUGCCAUCUAACACAAAGAUUGUUUAGGGUCAUGCGUGAUAUGUAUUAUAAAGAACGACUCUCGGCAACGGAUAUCUCGGCUCUCGCAUCGAUGAAGAACGUAGCGAAAUGCGAUACUUGGUGUGAAUUGCAGAAUCCCGUGAACCAUCGAGUCUUUGAACGCAAGUUGCGCCCCAAGCCUUCGGGUCGAGGGCACGUCUGCCUGGGUGUCACGCAUCGUAGCCCCUACCAUAUGUUGGUGUGAGGCUGAUAAUGGCUCUCCCGUCCUCAUGGUAGUGCGGUUGGCUUAAAUAUAGUAACCCUAAUGUGGUGUAUGCCAUGAUGAGCGGUGGUUUGUCUACGCUUGCCCUCGUUAAGUCAUCGUGUGCAGCAUGUCAUUAGAGUUGGUUGCCUUUGUACUUCGAUCCUUAAUUCACAGAUAGUGCACAUCGCGACCCCAGGUCAGGCGGGAAUACCCGCUGAGUUUAAGCAUA